GCAUAUCAAGAGCGGAGGAAAAGAAACCAACAGGGAUUGCCCUAGUAACGGCGAGUGAAGCGGCAACAGCUCAAAUUUGAAAUCUGGCUCUUUUAGGGUCCGAGUUGUAAUUUGCAGAGGGUGCUUUGGCAAAGGUUGUGGUCUAAGUUCCUUGGAACAGGACGUCACAGAGGGUGAGAAUCCCGUACGUGGCCGCCAACCCGCGCUAUGUAAAGCCCCUUCGACGAGUCGAGUUGUUUGGGAAUGCAGCUCUAAAUGGGAGGUAAAUUUCUUCUAAAGCUAAAUAUUGGCCAGAGACCGAUAGCGCACAAGUAGAGUGAUCGAAAGAUGAAAAGCACUUUGGAAAGAGAGUCAAAAAGCACGUGAAAUUGUUGAAAGGGAAGCGCUUGCAGCCAGACUUGCCUGUAGUUGCUCAUCCGGGCUCUUGCCCGGUGCACUCUUCUAUGGGCAGGCCAGCAUCAGUCUUGGCGGUCGGAUAAAUGCGUGCUAAACGUACCUCUCUUCGGGGAGGACUUAUAGGGCACGCGGCAUACGACCAGCCGGGACUGAGGUCCGCGCAUCUGCUAGGAUGCUGGCGUAAUGGCUGUAAGCGGCCCGUCUUGAAACACGGACCAAGGAGUCUAACAUCUAUGCGAGUGUUUGGGUGUCAAGCCCGAGCGCGUAAUGAAAGUGAACGGAGGUGGGAACCCCUCGGGGUGCACCAUCGACCGAUCCUGAUGUCUUCGGAUGGAUUUGAGUAAGAGCAUAGCUGUUGGGACCCGAAAGAUGGUGAACUAUGCCUGAAUAGGGUGAAGCCAGAGGAAACUCUGGUGGAGGCUCGCAGCGGUUCUGACGUGCAAAUCGAUCGUCAAAUUUGGGCAUAGGGGCGAAAGACUAAUCGAACUAUCUAGUAGCUAGUUUCCUGCCGAAG
This 910-nucleotide ribosomal RNA is filed under the name Preussia aemulans. Its description in RNAcentral is "LSU rRNA". It matches the Rfam family "Eukaryotic large subunit ribosomal RNA", at positions 38 to 966 of the family's 3401-position model. Lineage: Eukaryota; Fungi; Ascomycota; Dothideomycetes; Pleosporales; Sporormiaceae. The record is from RNAcentral.